GGAUGGCCGAUUUAAGGUGUUAGUCUCUUAAAUUAAUUAUGGGAUGA
Molecule: transfer RNA, 47 nt
Filed under: Phyxioschema suthepium
Lineage: Eukaryota; Metazoa; Arthropoda; Arachnida; Araneae; Euagridae
Description: tRNA-Lys
Source: RNAcentral